GAGAAGCUUGCUUCUUUUGAAAUCGAGUGGCAAACGGGUGAGUAACACGUAAACAACCUGCCUUCAGGAUGGGGACAACAGACGGAAACGACUGCUAAUACCGAAUACGCUUGGAAGACCGCAUGAUUUUCCAAGGAAAGGGUGGCCUCUACCUGUAAGCUAUCGCCUGAAGAGGGGUUUGCGUCUGAUUAGGCAGUUGGUGAGGUAACGGCCCACCAAACCUACGAUCAGUAGCCGGUCUGAGAGGAUGAACGGCCACACUGGAACUGAGACACGGUCCAGACUCCUACGGGAGGCAGCAGUGGGGAAUCUUCCGCAAUGGGCGAAAGCCUGACGGAGCAACGCCGCGUGAGUGAUGACGGCCUUCGGGUUGUAAAGCUCUGUGAUCGGGGACGAACGGUCCGUAAGCUAAUAUCUUAUGGAAGUGACGGUACCCGAAUAGCAAGCCACGGCUAACUACGUGCCAGCAGCCGCGGUAAUACGUAGGUGGCAAGCGUUGUCCGGAAUUAUUGGGCGUAAAGCGCGCGCAGGCGGCUUUCUAAGUCCAUCUUAAAAGUGCGGGGCUUAACCCCGUGAUGGGAUGGAAACUGGAAAGCUGGAGUAUCGGAGAGGAAAGUGGAAUUCCUAGUGUAGCGGUGAAAUGCGUAGAGAUUAGGAAGAACACCGGUGGCGAAGGCGACUUUCUGGACGACAACUGACGCUGAGGCGCGAAAGCGUGGGGAGCAAAC
This 728-nucleotide ribosomal RNA is filed under the name uncultured bacterium. RNAcentral describes it as "bacterial SSU rRNA". It matches the Rfam family "Bacterial small subunit ribosomal RNA", at positions 73 to 773 of the family's 1533-position model. The record is from RNAcentral.